This 934-nucleotide long non-coding RNA is filed under the name Homo sapiens (human). RNAcentral's name for it is "non-protein coding lnc-CAGE1-1:12". The record is from RNAcentral. Lineage: Eukaryota; Metazoa; Chordata; Mammalia; Primates; Hominidae.
GAGGACCUGCGCUCGCGGGGGCUGCUGCGCUCUGCGCUGGGGCCUCUCGGGCUGGGAAUGCGUGGCCCGGCUUUUGAGGAUUUCCUCGGUCCCCGGGCGGAAAUAGCUGGAAUGGAGGGGCCUCUCGAUUGGAGACUUACUGGUCAAAUAUUUACUUUUGUUGAUCACUGGAAACGCUACCUACCACGCAUUGACUAGGACCACAGUGAGGAGGGAACGCUUUAGAUGAUAGAGUUUUGUUUGGGGGCUUUUUUUUGUUUUGUUUUAUUCCAGGAAUUCAGGAAAUUGCCCCAGAAGUCCGAUUUCUGAUGUGUAAAACCUUUUUUUACAGAAAACCACGACUUCCUGGAAAAGUCUUCACCGUAAAUAUUAAUCUCUUUGGCAUGAAGAGGAAAACACUGCAGCUAAUUUUUCAUGGGAUAACAAAAAUAUAAACUGCAAUUUCUUUUAUUUUUUCCCUUUCGAUGGUCUUUUUAAACGAGGAGUAAAGAUUUCAACGCCAGGUCCAUUUUCCAAAUUUUGUACCAGAACCUUGAGGAUGCUUGUCUCUCGCGCGCUUCUCCGCAGACCGAACCCUCUCCGGAACUCAGAGCUGUUCACCCAAGUCAGCGGAGGAGGCCUCCUGGGACUUGAGCCUGAGGGUGGCGAAGAACCCUAGGCAGAGAUCAUCAACUUGGUACCGAUGAGUGACGCGGAGCUUGAACAUUCCAGCGACUUGCUCCAGGGCCACUCCCAGUUAAGAGGCUGAGUGUUAACUGCAAGAGGCUGAGUGUUAACUACGCCGUUGGCUCCAGGAACCGAACCGGGUUUGGAUACAGACCCAGUCACACCAUCCAUGAAAAGCUGUUUCUAUAAUAUGAAAAAUUGUUAAAUGACGCUUUAGUAAAAGCCAUUUAAAGAUCUUUUCUAAUAAAUUUUUCAUCUUUCCAAACAA